This 321-nucleotide ribosomal RNA is filed under the name Triticum aestivum (bread wheat). RNAcentral describes it as "partial small subunit ribosomal RNA". The record is from RNAcentral. Lineage: Eukaryota; Viridiplantae; Streptophyta; Magnoliopsida; Poales; Poaceae.
AUGCAACCGAAGACUAUGGUUGACCCAACAAGCAACGCCUGGCUCAGACCCAAUUCCAUCUACUUCACCAACAUCCCGCUCUGCGACCGUUUCGCCAUGGGAUGCCUUGGGCGUCGAGGCUUGUGGGCCUUGGACGUGGUCACCGGCCGGAUCACUUGGCCGCGCGCACCGAGCGGCGUGGUCGAGAGGCCUCUGGAAUCAGAAUGGACGGCUUGGCCGCGCGCACCGCGCCACAUGUUCGAUAAGCAGCUGGGAUCGGAAUUGGACGUGGACUGGGCAAAAUCCCUUUGGUUCAUGCCCUGCUUGACACAACCCAGAUAA